CUUUGUAUUUCUUUCUUUGGUGUUAGUUGUUAUUUCUCCUCUUUCAUUUCUGAUUUUAUUUAAUUGGGUCCUUUCUCUUUUUUUCAUGAUGAGUCUGGUUAAAGGUUCAUCAAUCUUGUUUAGCUUUUCAAAGGAUCAGCUCUUGGUUUCUCUGAUCUUUUGUAUUGUUAUU
This is a long non-coding RNA of Phyllostomus discolor (pale spear-nosed bat), 172 nucleotides long. RefSeq lists it as uncharacterized. The record is from RefSeq and is a predicted model, not a curated record. The transcript is spliced from 2 exons. Lineage: Eukaryota; Metazoa; Chordata; Mammalia; Chiroptera; Phyllostomidae.